AGAGUUUGAUCCUGGCUCAGAAUGAACGCUGGCGGCGUGCCUAACACAUGCAAGUCGAGCGAGAAAGUUCCUUCGGGAAUGAGUAAAGCGGCGGACGGUUGAGUAACACGUGAGAAUCUACCCUUUAGUGAAGAAUACCUUCGAGAAAUCGAAAUUAAUACUGCAUAAGUCCCUUCGGGGAGAAAAGUGGCCUCUUUGCUACUGCUAAAGGAUGAGCUUGCGGACUAUCAGCUAGUUGGUGAGGUAAAGGCUCACCAAGGCUAUGACGGUUAGCCGGCCUGAGAGGGUGAACGGCCAGACUGGAACUUAGACACGGUCCAGACUCCUACGGGAGGCAGCAGUGAGGAAUAUUGCGCAAUGGGCGAAAGCCUGACGCAGCGACGCCGCGUGGAGGAUGAAGGUUUUCGGAUCGUAAACUCCUGUUAAGUGGGAAGAAAAGUCUGUGGUUAAUACCCGCAGAAAAUGACGGUACCAUUAUAGAAAGCACCGGCUAACUACGUG
This 501-nucleotide ribosomal RNA is filed under the name uncultured bacterium. RNAcentral's name for it is "bacterial SSU rRNA". It matches the Rfam family "Bacterial small subunit ribosomal RNA", at positions 8 to 507 of the family's 1533-position model. The record is from RNAcentral.